CAUAUAUAACAUGUUGUGUUGUUUUUGAAAAACAUGCCGUCCACCGAAAGAAAUAAAACGUUUUAUUCGAUGAAAGCUUUUGUUAACAUGGAUGCUGCUAUGCUUUUUUUGAAGAGUUUUUUGAUUUUACUUUGUUUUGUGAACUCAGUUCUUUAUAAUCAUUUGUAUUUUAGAUAUAACUGAAAAUAAAAUAAUCUUCAUUUUCCACAAUAAAGAUGCCUCGUUAAACAGACCCGGUCAAAAAGCUUUUUCUAAAAACCACAGGUAAAACAACCAACUCAUACAGUUGCAAAUAUUGUGGAAAAGGUUAUUCCAAGAAUACACAUAAUUUACUGGUUCAUAUUUAUAAAUGCAGUAAAAUACCAGAAGAAUUAAGAAAUGCUGUUGUUAAAGAAAAAAUAGCAGAAAAAAAAACACAUCAAAACUUUAAGUAAGACUCCAUCAUGAAAAGAAAUUACGAGAUCAAGUAUUGAAAGCAUAGAUGCAAUAACAGUUGAUAUAACAGAGUUAAAAGAAUUGUCUUCAUCUUCUGUUCAAUCGGUUUUUCGUCUAAAAAAUCAAAAAGUCGAUGAAAUGUUUAUUGCAUUGGAACAAAAACAAGAGAGAGCCAAUUAUUCAUGUGGUUUUACUACACCUGAACCUGUGCUUUACAGGAGUAUUUGCCCUGGUACCCAGCCACAAACAGGUGCCUACAUGGCAGAGAUUAUUAUUAAUUGUUUUUUGGUAAUUUGUUUGCUGGUAAUGCUAUAACACUUGGAACUGUAUUAUCUAACAUAGCUUGGCUAUGUCGGAUAUAAAAUUAGCCCUUGAUAACUUUAUAUCUAAAACAGGGUUGACAGAUUUAGAAUGUGUGGAAAUGCAAAAUUAUUUUACGUUAAGAAAAGAAAUGUCUGUCACAAACCUUCACUUAGCUGCAAAACUUGCUUGAUCCGCAAAUAAAAGGUUCAAUCCUAUCUGGUUCAGAAUUUUUGGAAGCAAUGGAAUAUACAGAAAUUUUAGCAAAAAAUUUGUCUAUAAAUAAUAAUGUUGACUUGUCAGUUAUUGCAAAAGAUAUUACCCAGUUUGUAAAUUCUACUGGACUGUGGGCAUAUAGCUAUGUUGAGCAACUUGCUAGAAAUCAAGAUUCUAUAACAUAUUGGCAAGCUCUAAAAAAAUCUAGUCCACUUGUUGAUUUGGCUAUUAAAAUUUUAUUGAUGCCAUCUUCAGCUGCUACUGAAAGAACUUUUAGUACUAGAGGCUUUAUCCACAGAAAACUUCGAAAUUCUCUAACUAAUGAAAGAGCUAGUAGGUUGACUUACGUAAAACAAAACUAUAUGCUGAUGAAUUUAAACCUAAAAGGUCAAUUGCAAGAUUUUAAAAGUUCAUUUAGCAACCCAAAGAAGUAAAAAAUUAGUUUGUCCUCGCUAAUCAUGCACAUAUUGAUGGCAGUGAUUACGAGGAUACAACACGAUCAGAAGGAGAAAGCAAUGAAAGUGAGUCUGAGGAAGAUAUAGAUUUUGUGUCAGAUUCCUCUUUGAGAACAACAUCGAAAUAUGAAUUGAACCAAGUAGACUUCCAAUGGCCAGAGAUAAAAGAGUAUAUCGUUAAAAAAGUGGAACAUGAGAACGAACAAGUCUGAAAUGUUUUAUUUUAUAAAAUUUUUAGAUUUUAUUUUGAAAGAUGAUAUUUUUUAUUGAUAAUAUGAUAUUAUGAUAUUUUAUUUUAAAAGAUGAUAUUUAA
This is a long non-coding RNA of Hydra vulgaris (swiftwater hydra), 1719 nucleotides long. RefSeq lists it as uncharacterized. The record is from RefSeq and is a predicted model, not a curated record. NCBI's taxonomy places the organism in Eukaryota, Metazoa, Cnidaria, Hydrozoa, Anthoathecata, Hydridae.